Long non-coding RNA from Portunus trituberculatus (swimming crab), 753 nucleotides. RefSeq lists it as uncharacterized. NCBI's taxonomy places the organism in Eukaryota, Metazoa, Arthropoda, Malacostraca, Decapoda, Portunidae. The transcript has 3 exons. The record is from RefSeq and is a predicted model, not a curated record.
CCCAGGUCGAUGCUUUGCUGUGUUUCGAGGGAGGAGGAGCGAUGGUCGGACUCCUCUGAGCGACCCAGCGCCUUCCCGGGCAGUGGCUUCCUGACGGAGGGACGAGGAAGAAGCAAGCGUCAGCAGGUCACGCCACGCCCCCACUCACCUUGGUCAUGAUGGUGCGGUGAAGGGAGAGGAACUCGUUGUAGCGGCGUAGCACGAACCAGCAUCUCUUCACGUCCUCCACCACCACCUUGAACACCUGCAGGAAAGACAGCCACAUCAGCAAGUAACGCUCAGUGAAGUGCAAAAGAGGAGCGCCGCGGAGUGGCUUGCUGUGUGAAUAGAAAUAAUGAAACGCAGGGCCCACCAGCGAGCAGUGCGUCAGGCUGGUGAUGUGAGCUAGUCCCCAGCCACCGCCGCCCGGUGCCUCGCCUCGCCCCCUGCAGGAUGCCACGGACGGCUGACUCCCUGAAGUGGGGCGCAGCGACGAGCGGGUUCAUGCUGACCCGACUGGUUGUCCUGCUGGUGGUGGUGGUGGUGGUGGUGGUGGGUAAGGAGGAAGACUAGAGUGUUUAGUGGCUCGGUUGUCCUAUGCAGGUGUUUUUUUCGUCUUUUCUAGUGGUAAGGAAAUGUUAAGUUUUUCAUUUACCAUUUUUCAGAGUCUGAGUGUUUUUAAAUUCUUUGUUUUCCUGUAUGGGAGAGACAAUCAAGGGACCUUUUUUUAUUCCUUAUUUUUCCCCUUCGUUGUCUCGCUUGCUCAUAAGUAAA